This 540-nucleotide ribosomal RNA is filed under the name uncultured bacterium. RNAcentral's name for it is "bacterial SSU rRNA". It matches the Rfam family "Bacterial small subunit ribosomal RNA", at positions 777 to 1314 of the family's 1533-position model. The record is from RNAcentral.
AAUAGAUACCCUGGUAGUCCACGCCGUAAACGAUGAGUGCUAAGUGUUAGAGGGUUUCCGCCCUUUAGUGCUGCAGCUAACGCAUUAAGCACUCCGCCUGGGGAGUACGGCCGCAAGGCUGAAACUCAAAGGAAUUGACGGGGGCCCGCACAAGCGGUGGAGCAUGUGGUUUAAUUCGAAGCAACGCGAAGAACCUUACCAGGUCUUGACAUCCUCUGACCUCCCUGGAGACAGGGCCUUCCCCUUCGGGGGACAGAGUGACAGGUGGUGCAUGGUUGUCGUCAGCUCGUGUCGUGAGAUGUUGGGUUAAGUCCCGCAACGAGCGCAACCCUUGACCUUAGUUGCCAGCAUUCAGUUGGGCACUCUAAGGUGACUGCCGGUGACAAACCGGAGGAAGGUGGGGAUGACGUCAAAUCAUCAUGCCCCUUAUGACCGUGGGCUACACACGUGCUACAAUGGAUGGUACAAAGGGCUGCGAGACCGCGAGGUUAAGCCAAUCCCAGAAAACCAUUCCCAGUUCGGAUUGCAGGCUGCAACCCG